AAAUAGGGACUUGUAUGAAUGGCCACACGAGGGCUUUACUGUCUCUUACUUCCAAUCCGUGAAAUUGACCUUCCCGUGAAGAGGCGGGAAUACGACAAUAAGACGAGAAGACCCUGUGGAGCUUUAAUUAAUCGACCCAAAGAGACCUUAAUAACCAACCGACAGGAACAACAGACCUCUGCCAUGGGCCGACAAUUUAGGUUGGGGUGACCUCGGAGAAUAAAACAACCUCCGAGUGAUUUAAAUCUAGACUAACCAGUCGAAAGUAUUACAUCACUUAUUGAUCCAAAGCUUGAUCAACGGAACAAGUUACCCCAGGGAUAACAGCGCAAUCCUACUUCAGAGUCCAUAUCGACAAUAG
RNAcentral lists this ribosomal RNA (361 nucleotides) under Panthera tigris tigris (Bengal tiger). Its description in RNAcentral is "partial 16S ribosomal RNA". It matches the Rfam family "Bacterial large subunit ribosomal RNA", at positions 1978 to 2514 of the family's 2925-position model. Lineage: Eukaryota; Metazoa; Chordata; Mammalia; Carnivora; Felidae. The record is from RNAcentral.